Molecule: ribosomal RNA, 1221 nt
Filed under: Triticum aestivum (bread wheat)
Lineage: Eukaryota; Viridiplantae; Streptophyta; Magnoliopsida; Poales; Poaceae
Description: partial small subunit ribosomal RNA
Source: RNAcentral
AUGGCGCUCACCACCCGCAGAGGCGGCGGCGCCGACCAAGCGAGCCUCGGCUUCCUCACGAACCGCGACACGGAGGUCAGGCUCCCCCGCGCGACGCGGGUGAAGAACAAGGCGCCGGCGGGGGUCCAGAUCACCGCCGAGCAGAUCCUCCGCGAGGCCCGGGAGCGGCAGGAGCCCGAGAUCCGCCCGCCCAGGCAGAGGAUAACCGACUUCGACGAGCUCCGCGAGCGCAAGCGAUUCGAAGGCCUCGUCACUCGCGGCGGCGUCCCGGCGUGGGUCAAGUAUGCCCGGUGGGAGGAGGGGCAGGGGGACCUCGCCCGGGCUCGCUCCGUCUACGAGCGCGCCCUGGACCUGGACGCCGCCCGCCGCGACCACGCGAUGUGGCUCAAGUACGCCGAGUUCGAGAUGCGCAGCCGCUGCGUCAACCACGCGAGGAACGUCUGGGACCGCGCCGUCUCGCUCCUCCCCCGCGUCGACCAGCUGUGGCACAAGUACAUCCACAUGGAGGAGCUGCUUGGCGCCGUCGCCAGUGCUCGCCAGCUCUUUGAGCGCUGGAUGGCAUGGCGUCCCGACAUUGCUGCCUGGAACUCGUACAUCAAGUUCGAGCUGCGGUAUGGGGAGGUUGAGCGUGCAAGGGCGAUCUAUGAGAGGUUUGUCGCCGAGCACCCACGGCCCGACACGUUUGUCCGAUACGCCAAGUUUGAGAUGAAACAUGGAGGAGCAGAGCGGGCACGUCGCGUGUACGAGCAUGCAUCGGAACUGCUUGUGGACGAUGAAGACGCAGAGGUGUUGUUUGUAGCUUUUGCUGAGUUUGAGGAAAAUCGCCCGGAGGUGGAGCGCACUCGUGCAAUAUACAAGUAUGCGCUUGACAGAGUGCCGAAGGGCAAGGCUGAGGACCUUUACAGGAAGUUCCUGGCAUUUGAGAAACGAUGUGGUGACCGUGAGGGGAUUGACGAUGCCAUUGUGGGCAAGCAGAGGUUCCAAUAUGAAGAUGAGGUGAGGAGGAACCCGCUCAAUUACGACUCAUGGUUCGAUUACAUCAGGCUGGAGGAGAGCGCCGGUAAUAAGGACAGGAUCAGGGAUGUGUACGAGAGGGCUAUCGCAAAUGUCCCCCCUGCACAAGAGAAGCGGUACUGGCAGAGGUAUAUAUACCUUUGGAUAAACUAUGCUUUCUAUGAGGAACUUGAUGCACAGGACAUGGAGAGGACCCGGGAGGUCUAA